AAAGGUUCAAUCCGCUGAAAGAUAAAUCUGUUUAAGAUUAGGUUGUUGGUAAUUUAAAAGCUUACCAAGCCAAUGAUCUUUAGUUGGUCUGAGAGGAUGAUCAACCACACUGGAACUGAAACAAGGUCCAGGCUAAUACGUUGGCCAGCAGUGGGGGAUAUUGGACAAUGAACGAAAGUUUGAUCCAGCAAUACUAACUGGGUGACGACGGCUUAUUUAAGUUGUAAGAUCCUUUAAUUGAAGAAGAUAAUGACACUAUUUAAUUGAAUUAGUCCUGGCUAAUACUCGUGCCAGCAGCCGCGGUAAUACGGGAAGGGCAAGCGUUAUCCGGCAUGACUGGGCGUAAAGAGUCCGUAGACUGUAAAAUAAGUUUUUUGUUAAAUUUUAAGACCUAAUCUUAACAUAGCAACUAAUACUAUUUUACUGUGAGUCUAAUACAGAAAAGUAGAAUUUUAUACGAAAGAGGUGAAAUUUGCGGAUAUAUAAAGGAAUGCCAAAAGCGAAGGCAACUUUUUAGUAUAGACUGACGUUGAGGGACGAAAGCGUGGGUAGCAAACGGGAUUAGAGACCCCGGUAGUCCACGCCGUAAAUUCUGAGUGCU
Molecule: ribosomal RNA, 601 nt
Filed under: uncultured organism
Description: bacterial SSU rRNA
Rfam family: Bacterial small subunit ribosomal RNA
Source: RNAcentral